Molecule: transfer RNA, 68 nt
Filed under: Papurana kreffti (San Cristobal treefrog)
Lineage: Eukaryota; Metazoa; Chordata; Amphibia; Anura; Ranidae
Description: tRNA-Asp
Rfam family: tRNA
About the family: Transfer RNA (tRNA) molecules are approximately 80 nucleotides in length.
Source: RNAcentral
GAAGAAUUAGUUAAACAUAACAUUACCUUGUCAAGGUAGAAUUACUAGUUAAACCCUUGUAUUCUUCU